Long non-coding RNA from Gallus gallus (chicken), 774 nucleotides. RefSeq lists it as uncharacterized. NCBI's taxonomy places the organism in Eukaryota, Metazoa, Chordata, Aves, Galliformes, Phasianidae. The transcript is spliced from 5 exons. The record is from RefSeq and is a predicted model, not a curated record.
GUCGGAUCGGCUCGCUACUGCUGCGCCCGACUGCACGCAAGGCUUCAGUAUUAGCGGCACUGAUGAAGAUAUUGAACAAGACCAGACCCAGCACCGACCCCUGGGGAACACCACUAGUCACAGGUCUCCACUGCACUCUGCACCAUCAAUCACCACUCUCUGAGCUUGAUGUCUGAGCUUUCUUUCAAAAGAAAAAAAAGAAAAUAAUAAAAUCACACAGGUCUUGUGUGAGGUGUUCUGAAGUUGAUAGUCAUUGCUGUGAUCUCUGAUCUGCAUCUACCCCAGAAGAGAACAACCCGUGUAUGUCUCAUCAUGAACAUGACCAGAUUUCUAGAAAAGCAAAUAAAGUUUGAAUUUCAUGGAUGGAUGGAAGAAAAGAGAACUGCAGCCACUUGCCUAUCGUCAGUACAUCAAUCUUAUUUAGAAGACAGGUCUCCAAAACAGUCUACUAAUACAACCAUCAGUUGAGAUUGAAGCAAGAGUGUUUACAAUAGGAGGUGGUGAUUGACGCAGUCUUCAAAAGCGCCAUGGAAAUUCUACUGUCUGGACCUGAUUCCAAUGCUGUGUCCUUUACAGUCCAAGAAACAUUUAUUGUCUUCUUAUCUAUCCAUUCUUUCACCGUUAGUUGUUUCGGCACUCUCAAUAUCCUUGGUAGUUUUCCUUUUCUUUCUUAAUCAUGUCCAGAGAGGAAAAGAAACAUGAAAAGAAAGUACACAGUGAAUGGGUAUCAAACAGAAAUAAGAUCAUGUAAGUAAAUAAAUGUUAUUUUCACAA